CCUACGGGUGGCAGCAGUGGGGAAUAUUGCACAAUGGGCGCAAGCCUGAUGCAGCCAUGCCGCGUGUGUGAAGAAGGCCUUCGGGUUGUAAAGCACUUUCAGCGGGGAGGAAGGCGGUGAGGUUAAUAACCUCAUCGAUUGACGUUACCCGCAGAAGAAGCACCGGCUAACUCCGUGCCAGCAGCCGCGGUAAUACGGAGGGUGCAAGCGUUAAUCGGAAUUACUGGGCGUAAAGCGCACGCAGGCGGUCUGUCAAGUCGGAUGUGAAAUCCCCGCGCUCAACCUGGGAACUGCAUUCGAAACUGGCAGGCUAGAGUCUUGUAGAGGGGGGUAGAAUUCCAGGUGUAGCGGUGAAAUGCGUAGAGAUCUGGAGGAAUACCGGUGGCGAAGGCGGCCCCCUGGACAAAGACUGACGCUCAGGUGCGAAAGCGUGGGGAGCAAACAGGAUUAGAUACCCCGGUAGUC
Molecule: ribosomal RNA, 465 nt
Filed under: uncultured Klebsiella sp.
Lineage: Bacteria; Pseudomonadati; Pseudomonadota; Gammaproteobacteria; Enterobacterales; Enterobacteriaceae
Description: bacterial SSU rRNA
Rfam family: Bacterial small subunit ribosomal RNA
Source: RNAcentral